UACCAGCACCCCGAGUGGCUCGGGACGUUUUAUUGGGCCUAAAGCAUCCGUAGCCGGUUCUACAAGUCUUCCGUUAAAUCCAACUGCUUAACAGGUGGGCUGCGGAAGAUACUAUAGAGCUAGGAGGCGGGAGAGGCAAGCGGUACUCGAUGGGUAGGGGUAAAAUCCGUUGAUCCAUUGAAGACCACCAGUGGCGAAGGCGGCUUGCCAGAACGCGCUCGACGGUGAGGGAUGAAAGCUGGGGGGAGCAAACCGG
Molecule: ribosomal RNA, 256 nt
Filed under: uncultured bacterium
Lineage: Bacteria
Description: partial 16S ribosomal RNA
Rfam family: Archaeal small subunit ribosomal RNA
Source: RNAcentral